RNAcentral lists this ribosomal RNA (468 nucleotides) under uncultured bacterium. RNAcentral describes it as "partial 16S ribosomal RNA". It matches the Rfam family "Bacterial small subunit ribosomal RNA", at positions 28 to 507 of the family's 1533-position model. The record is from RNAcentral.
GACGAACGCUGGCGGCGUGCUUAACACAUGCAAGUCGAACGGAAAGGCCCUGCUUUUGUGGGGUGCUCGAGUGGCGAACGGGUGAGUAACACGUGAGUAACCUGCCCUUGACUUUGGGAUAACUUCAGGAAACUGGGGCUAAUACCGGAUAGGAGCUCCUGCUGCAUGGGGGGGGUUGGAAAGUUUCGGCGGUUGGGGAUGGACUCGCGGCUUAUCAGCUUGUUGGUGGGGUAGUGGCUUACCAAGGCUUUGACGGGUAGCCGGCCUGAGAGGGUGACCGGCCACAUUGGGACUGAGAUACGACCCAGACUCCUACGGGAGGCAGCAGUGGGGAAUAUUGCACAAUGGGCGGAAGCCUGAUGCAGCAACGCCGCGUGCGGGAUGACGGCCUUCGGGUUGUAAACCGCUUUCGCCUGUGACGAAGCGUGAGUGACGGUAAUGGGUAAAGAAGCACCGGCUAACUACGUG